Molecule: long non-coding RNA, 2050 nt
Filed under: Rattus norvegicus (Norway rat)
Lineage: Eukaryota; Metazoa; Chordata; Mammalia; Rodentia; Muridae
Description: long non-coding RNA NONRATT022668
Source: RNAcentral
CCCCAUAGAGCAUGUUCAGAGAACAGCAGUCUGCACAGAGCAAAGCCCAGCAGAGGAGGAGGCUGGGAGAAGGGUGGAAAGCAGGAAAGGGUGGUUGGUGACAGACUACAGGAUGCCUGUAAAUCCAGCAUGAGUGGAAGGCGUACACCUCAUUCAUUAGACAGAGGGGAGCCAUGGCAGGCAGGCUUUUGUGUCAGAGCCAGGCAGAAGAGAGAGAGAUUAGCUGAUAUUUGUUGGCCAGAUUGGCUAGGCCAGGAGGUAGCAGGAUUAGUUAGCAGCUGGUUCCAGAGAACUGAAGGGCCUGGUGGAGAGGACACUCCCACCUCAGGCUCCGCCUACCCUGGGUCCUCAUUCCUCAUGUUUCUGAGUGAUUGGUUCUGUUCCUUUGGGUCCCCAGGGCCCACCAGGAUCUGAAGGCCUUCCAGGUCCCCAAGGUCCAGCGGGUCCCCGAGGAGAGCGAGGUCCCCAAGGGAGCUCGGGAGAGAAGGGUGAUCAGGGAUUUCAAGGCCAGCCAGGUUUCCCUGGCCCACCGGGUCCCCCGGGAUUCCCAGGCAAAGCUGGAGCUCCUGGCCCACCUGGCCCCCAAGCAGAGAAGGGCAGUGAAGGGAUGCGAGGUCCCUCAGGCUUGCCUGGUUCCCCUGGACCACCAGGCCCUCCUGGGAUUCAGGGCCCUGCUGGACUGGAUGGACUGGAUGGGAAAGACGGCAAACCGGGCCUGAGGGGGGACCCAGGUCCCGCUGGCCCUCCUGGACUCAUGGGACCUCCAGGUUUCAAAGGGAAAACAGGGCAUCCUGGUCUCCCUGGACCUAAGGGUGACUGUGGAAAACCAGGUCCUCCUGGCAGCAGUGGCCGGCCAGGUGCAGAGGGUGAGCCCGGUGCCAUGGGACCCCAGGGACGACCAGGACCUCCAGGGCAUCUUGGGCCACAGGGGCCUCCAGGCCAGCCAGGUCCACCUGGGCUCUCCACCAUGGGCCUGAAAGGAGAUCGGGGAUCCCCUGGAGAAAGGGGCUUGGCCGGCCUCCCAGGCCAGCCUGGCACACCCGGACACCCCGGCCCUCCGGGUGAACCUGGUUCGGAUGGUGCAGCUGGCAAAGAGGGACCUCCAGGAAAGCAGGGACUCUAUGGACCCCCCGGCCCAAAGGGUGACCCAGGACCUGCAGGACAGAAAGGCCAAGCAGGAGAAAAGGGAAGAUCUGGCAUGCCUGGGGGCCCUGGCAAGAGUGGCUCCAUGGGACCGAUUGGACCACCGGGUCCUGCGGGAGAGAGAGGCCACCCUGGGUCCCCAGGGCCUGCUGGGAACCCUGGAUUGCCUGGUUUGCCAGGCUCUAUGGGAGACAUGGUGAAUUAUGAUGAUAUCAAGAGGUUUAUCAGACAAGAGAUCAUUAAACUGUUUGAUGAGAGGAUGGCUUACUACACCUCUAGGAUGCAGUUCCCCAUGGAGGUGGCAGCAGCUCCAGGCCGGCCAGGGCCUCCAGGGAAGGAUGGCGCCCCAGGGCGGCCAGGUGCUCCAGGGUCACCUGGGCUCCCUGGUCAGAUAGGCCGAGAAGGACGCCAGGGUUUGCCAGGAAUGAGAGGAUUGCCUGGUACCAAAGGUGAUAAGGGAGACAUUGGUGUUGGCAUUGCAGGAGAAAAUGGUCUCCCUGGCCCUCCAGGUCCUCAAGGGCCUCCAGGUUAUGGCAAGAUGGGUGCAACCGGGCCAAUGGGCCAGCAAGGCAUUCCUGGGAUCCCUGGCCCCCCGGGGCCCAUGGGCCAGCCAGGGAAGGCAGGCCACUGCAACCCCUCAGACUGUUUUGGGGCCAUGCCAAUGGAGCAGCAGUACCCGCCCAUAAAAAGCAUGAAGGGGCCUUUUGGUUGAAGCUCCUGCUCGCACUGAGAGGAAGGACUCUACUAGGAAUAAAUGGCCAAAGCUUACAGGACUCUGACAGGUUGUGAAUGUUUGUACUAUUCUUGUGUUUGUUGUUUUGUUGUUGUUGCUGUUAAUAUUUUUUUUAACAAUAAAGAAAGAAAACUAUCUGUAACCCCACUUCCAUGGGGUUCCCCUGGUGCUGCA